This 1222-nucleotide ribosomal RNA is filed under the name Klebsiella pneumoniae. Its description in RNAcentral is "bacterial SSU rRNA". It matches the Rfam family "Bacterial small subunit ribosomal RNA", at positions 33 to 1254 of the family's 1533-position model. Lineage: Bacteria; Pseudomonadati; Pseudomonadota; Gammaproteobacteria; Enterobacterales; Enterobacteriaceae. The record is from RNAcentral.
GCGGUGGCGGCUGCUACCAUGCAGUCGAGCGGUAGCACAGAGAGCUUGCUCUCGGGUGACGAGCGGCGGACGGGUGAGUAAUGUCUGGGAAACUGCCUGAUGGAGGGGGAUAACUACUGGAAACGGUAGCUAAUACCGCAUAACGUCGCAAGACCAAAGUGGGGGACCUUCGGGCCUCAUGCCAUCAGAUGUGCCCAGAUGGGAUUAGCUAGUAGGUGGGGUAACGGCUCACCUAGGCGACGAUCCCUAGCUGGUCUGAGAGGAUGACCAGCCACACUGGAACUGAGACACGGUCCAGACUCCUACGGGAGGCAGCAGUGGGGAAUAUUGCACAAUGGGCGCAAGCCUGAUGCAGCCAUGCCGCGUGUAUGAAGAAGGCCUUCGGGUUGUAAAGUACUUUCAGCGGGGAGGAAGGCGAUAAGGUUAAUAACCUUGUCGAUUGACGUUACCCGCAGAAGAAGCACCGGCUAACUCCGUGCCAGCAGCCGCGGUAAUACGGAGGGUGCAAGCGUUAAUCGGAAUUACUGGGCGUAAAGCGCACGCAGGCGGUCUGUCAAGUCGGAUGUGAAAUCCCCGGGCUCAACCUGGGAACUGCAUUCGAAACUGGCAGGCUAGAGUCUUGUAGAGGGGGGUAGAAUUCCAGGUGUAGCGGUGAAAUGCGUAGAGAUCUGGAGGAAUACCGGUGGCGAAGGCGGCCCCCUGGACAAAGACUGACGCUCAGGUGCGAAAGCGUGGGGAGCAAACAGGAUUAGAUACCCUGGUAGUCCACGCCGUAAACGAUGUCGAUUUGGAGGUUGUGCCCUUGAGGCGUGGCUUCCGGAGCUAACGCGUUAAAUCGACCGCCUGGGGAGUACGGCCGCAAGGUUAAAACUCAAAUGAAUUGACGGGGGCCCGCACAAGCGGUGGAGCAUGUGGUUUAAUUCGAUGCAACGCGAAGAACCUUACCUGGUCUUGACAUCCACAGAACUUGCCAGAGAUGCCUUGGUGCCUUCGGGAACUGUGAGACAGGUGCUGCAUGGCUGUCGUCAGCUCGUGUUGUGAAUGUUGGGGUUAAGUCCCGCACGAGCGCACCUUAUCCUUUGUUGCCAGCGGGUUAGCCGGAACUCAAAGGAGACUGCCAGUGAUAACUGGAGAAGGGUGGGGGAUGACGUCAAGUCAUCAUGUCCUAACGAACAAGGCCUACCACAACGUGCUACAAUGGGCGCUAUUACCAGGAGGAGUG